Zingiber officinale is the source of this 3650-nucleotide RNA transcript. RefSeq lists it as uncharacterized. Lineage: Eukaryota; Viridiplantae; Streptophyta; Magnoliopsida; Zingiberales; Zingiberaceae. The transcript has 2 exons. The record is from RefSeq and is a predicted model, not a curated record.
CCCCGCCGCUAAACCGGCGGGAUCCGGUCGAACCGGAAGGUGGGCGUCCUGAUUGAGUCAAUAAUUGUGCCUGUGACCUGCGCCUGUAAAGGACAAAAGAAAAGGGGAAAAAGCGCUGCGGAGCGAAAGAGAAAAGGAAACAAAGUCAAGGAGAAAAAAGUGAGGCAUCGACGAGUGCGUUGAUAGUACCAGAGGAUGCCUUUUCUCCAUUCUCAUUUUACUCAUCAACCUCCGUUUUUUCUUAUAAGAAUUAACCUUUUUUAUAUUUAUUAUAUUAAAAUUGACAAGCGUGGGAGUAUGGGUGCAGUUGAGGUUUGGCGGAUGCAAUAUGCAGACUUUUCCAUACGGCCCGGCCCAUUUUGUGAGCCCAUAAUAAUAGACAUCGCGGACACCCUCAAGUUCCUCCCUCCAGGUCCUCCGAUGUCCGCCGCCUCGCUGUUGCCUAUCGCGCGACGACGAAUCUCAGCUUCCUCUACCCUCCGCCGCGGCACGCCGCUCUGCUCAGUCCUCAGGGGAGGUUCUUAUACGAUCUCUUCCUUUACCGCCCCUUUCGGGCGAGGGAGAAGCUCAAUCCAUUGGGCUUGGGCCCUGGAUCAGAAGAUUCUGAGGAGACAUACACUUCGCCAGCCGAAGCUGAUGCUGCCGUCGUGGAUGGGUUUCUCGAUCGCUUCAACAAGUAUCUAACUCUUCAAACCGACUAAUCCAAGAGAUGAUCGGCCAGGCUCAAUGGAAGUUUCCACUGGUUACUAGGGUAAAUCGGGAAGUGCUCAUGGAGGCCUAUCCAAGUGACUAAUAUUUUCAAGUUUGUCAUCCCACUAGAAGAAAUUGCUAUUAUUAAAAGGUAAAGUAGUUGACAAGAAAUGCAAAUAAAGUAAGAAUACGUUGCAAUUUUGAGUUUACCAUUAGAGAACAAAUAUCACAUUUGUUAUUUAGCGACACGAUCAAGAUAGUAGUGUUAAAUUAAAUAUUCAUCGGAAAAGAACUUGUUUCAAGUAUUUAUUAGAGGUAGAUACAGUGAUUUCAACUUAAAUAUGACUAGAGUUUGUUUUUUUUUUUUAACAUUUUGCUUAGUCAAUUAAUCAUACACAAUAACAGCAGGAUGUGAAAAACAAUUACAUUAAAUCCAAGGUCACAUAAUUGUCCUAUAAAAAUUGAAUUCAUAGAGAAUUUAGGAACAAGAUAAGUAUCAUUAAUUGAUAAUUGUCGAGUUUUAAGUGAAUCAAUAUGCAGGAUAGCAUAAGAGUAUCGUCAACAUUUUGAAUAGGGUCGAUAUCAAUUUAAGAUAAUUUAAAUGAAAAAUAGGAUAGAUUUGCUUAGUCAAUUAAUCAUACACAAUAAGAGCAGGAUGUGAAAAAAAAUCACAUCAAAUCCAAGGUCACAUAAUUGUCCUAUAAAAAUUGAAUUCAUAGAGAAUUUAGGAACAAGAUAAGUAUCAUUAAUUGAUAAUUAUGGAGUUUUAAGUGAAUCAAUAUGCAGGAUAGCAUAAGAGUAUCAUCAAAAUUUUGAAUAGGGUUGAGAUCAAUUAAAGAUAAUUUGAGUGAAAAAUAGGAUAGAUUGGAUGCCAUAUGAUUUAGGAAUGGGAAAAAUAUCAAAAAUUUUGAUAUAUCGCACAUACCGUAUCGAAAUAUACUGAAUUAUAUCGAAAAUUCGGUAUUUCAAAAAUUUCAAUACGAUAUUAUCCUAUACCAAAAAUUUUCGGUACAGUCUUGGUAUGCAAUAUUAUUCGAUAUGUAGGGAUGUAAACGAGCUGAACCAAGCCGAACAGUAUUAAGCUCGAGCUUGGCUCGUUUAAGUUAUAUUCGGGCUCGAGCUUGGCUCGAGCUCGAAUCGAACUUUUAUCACAACGCUCAAGCUCGGCUCGUUUUGGAAUUACUAAGCUUGUGAACAGUUCGAGCUUGGCUCGUUAUUAGCUCGAUUAUCAUAGUUAAUGAGCCUAACUCGUUAAGCAAGCUCAAGCUUGUUUUCGGGCUCGUUUUAGAGUUCGUUUUUGGGCUCAUUUUAAGGCUCGUUUUGCUGGCUUGUUAAGCGAGCUCGAAAACUCAUUUGAAUAAAUAUUCAACAAACCUAACAACUAAAAUAAUAUAAACUCAACACAUCAUUGAACAUCCCAAACUAUUACAUUAAACUUCCAAACUCAACACACCAUUGAACAUGUUCGCGAGCCCUUUAAUCGAGCCCAGCUCGAGCCCGAGUUUAGGAGCUUAUAAACGAACAUGUUCUCGAGCCCUUUAAACGAGCCAAACUUGAGUCCGAGUUUACGAGCCUAUAAACGAACAUGUUCUCGAGCCUUUUAAACGAGCCGAGCUCGAGCCCUUUAAACGAGCCGAGCUCGAGCCCUUUAAACGAGUCAAGCAUAAGCCUAAGCUCGCGAGCCUAUAAACGAACAUGUUCGUGAGCUCACGAGCCGAAUAUCCUUAAGCUCGAGCUCGGCUCGAUAAGUUAAACGAACAAACUCGAAAGAGAUUUUUACCGAAUCGAGCUCCGAAUAACUCGCGAACCGUUUGGUUCAUUUACAUCCCUAUCGGUAUGCAAUAUUUCAGUAUUCGAUUUUGAUAUACUAUGCGGAUAUAGGAAUUUGAGUGUAAACAAUAUUGAAUUUAUACCAUACCAAAAAUUGGUAUAUUGAAGUUUUGAUAUACUAAAAUUUCGGUAUGGUAUCGGUAUGAUUUUUCUAUAUACUAAAGUUUUUGAUGCGGUAUACGAUAUUAAUAUACGUUAUGGGUAUGCUUUUUCUGUAUACCGAAGUUUUUGAUAUAAGAUUCGGUACCGAUAUACCAUACUGAACUCACUCUAAUGUUAUUGCAACAAAUAGAGUCAAGGUUCAGAGAUUUCUUGUUUUUUUGCUAACUCUGUAAAUAAUUUGUCCUUUCCUACUAUAAUAUUUACAUAAUGUUGAUAAGGUUGACAGAAUGAAAGUCCGAUCAAAAUGCUUUGAAUAUUUUUGAACAAUCUCUUUAAAAAGAUGAAGACUAAAGAGCCACAGUUGAAAAGAGAAAAUGGUAGAAAAAUAUAUUUAUAUAUAAUCUAAAUUUAUUUCUUUAUAAUGAAAUGGUUGGCCCUUUAAUAGAAAAUGACAAAACUUAGGCUGACAAUCUAAGGUAAUGAUUUACUCUCCAUUGUGAUUUGGAUGACGAGACGUCGGUAGAGGAGGUGAAGAUGGUGAAGGUCAUGAAUGACUGAUUGGAUCGAGCAACGUGGUCUCACCAAUGAUAGUAUCUCAUAACACUAAAAGGACAUAUAGUAGUAGAGUAGAAAAAACUCAAGAGGGAUCAUCCUUGGCUUGAGGAAAAAGAAAUCAAGUAAGCUCUGAUACCAUGUUAGAGUAUUGUUGGGUUGUUUUUGUAAAUAAGAAAUUGGAUAUUAAGAUUGGAGUGUAUAUGCACAGCAAAAUGGAGAUGAAAAAGAGCCUAUGUCAAAUUUGAAAAUAGUUUCCCUAUUUCCGCCAUGUUGACAAAUAAUUUCAUAAUGAGAGAUAGGAGAUAGUUUACUUAUAAUAAUACUAAGUUGAGAAAAAAUAGAUAAUUUUCUCUUUAAGAAAACAUUAAAUUUCAUUAAAUUAGUCUCAUAAUUGCUAAUUAAUUAAAAAUUAACUAAAAAUAGAAACAUUUUAAUUAUAAUACUCUAAAAAUUUCCUCAAUAAGGUUAUAACA